RNAcentral lists this long non-coding RNA (708 nucleotides) under Olea europaea (common olive). Its description in RNAcentral is "long non-coding RNA (OEUR_LNC013597)". The record is from RNAcentral. Lineage: Eukaryota; Viridiplantae; Streptophyta; Magnoliopsida; Lamiales; Oleaceae.
CAGCCAUUUCUGCAAAUUCUUCCAUAUUCAUAGUAUACGAUCCAAUUAUAUGUGCUGCAUAGUAAGGGAUAUAUAUAUUUUGGUCAUGUGAUAGCCAACGUCGGUUCUUUAAUCCCUUCCAGAUGAGUGCCACCAUGCAUUCAAAUAUUCCUAACUCGAUAAACUCAGGAUCAUUAGGAUGUGCCAUGGCAGUAUUCCAAAGGCCACUAAUAGGAAGAACUUGACCAUCAUCAUCCUGUGAUGGAAAUUCUCUGAAAAACUUUAGUAUGCUUGCUCUACGCUUGCUCGGGUUUACUUCCUUCAUGACACAAAAGAAGCAUCUUGGGUAUGGACAGUCAGAGAAUGCAUUAUCCAUGGUCGAAUAACUCAAAAUACAGGUCUUAACAGUACCAGAUAAUCAACUCUCCAUCAAGCUUUUACCUGAAAUAAAUACGUGAACACUGCAUCAGCUAUUGAUAUGUAAAAUGGCACCUAUUGAAUCGAUUCUCUUUGUCCCGAUUGGUUAAAGAAUUGUUGUUUCCACAACUGAAGUCAAAGGUCAAGUAUUGAAGGAUCCACCCCCACUCAAAAAAUAGGGCAUCUAUUGAACCAUACUGUAAAAAAUAUUGAUGACUUCGAAAAUUCAUAUAUCUUCUUCAUGAUUACAAUAUGUUUCUCUUUUGUCAAUGAGAAAGAUGCGAUAAUUGAUAGAAUCUAAUUACAUCGAAU